Molecule: ribosomal RNA, 466 nt
Filed under: uncultured bacterium
Lineage: Bacteria
Description: bacterial SSU rRNA
Rfam family: Bacterial small subunit ribosomal RNA
Source: RNAcentral
GGUUAACGCUGGCGGCGUGCCUAACACAUGCAAGUCGAACGGUUCUAAGCGCGAGCUUAGGGAUAGUGGCGAACGGGUAGAGUAAAAGGUAGGAAUCUACCCCUUGGACGGAGAUAGCUACUGGAAACGGUAGGUAAACUUCGAUAAGCCCGAGAGGGGAAAGUGGUGAGACAGCCGAGGGAUGAGCCUACUCUCCAUCAGGUAGUUGGUGAGAUAAAAGCUUACCAAGCCGAUGACGGAUAACCGGUGUGAGAGCAUGAACGGUCACAAGGGCACUGAGAGACGGGCCCUACUCCUACGGGAGGCAGCAGUGGGGGAUCUUGGACAAUGGGCGAAAGCCUGAUCCAGCGACGCCGCGUGGAGGAAGAAGUCCUUCGGGAUGUAAACUUCUGAACUAGCCGAAUAAAAGGCCUGUGGACACACAGGAGAAGAAAGUAGGCUAGGAAAAGUCCCGGCUAACUACGUG